UAUAAUAUUAAUUAUUAUAUAUACGCUCUUUUUUAUUAAUUUUUUUGAGGAUAAGCUCAGAAAAAAGUUAAGAUAUUUUUAGUUAAAAUUACUGUGUGGGCUUAAAAUUGGCCACCAUAAAAGUUUGUUAUAAAAUAGUAAUCUUAAUUUAGAAGAUAAAUAUAUUUUAGUCUAAACCCUUACGGGGACAAGAGCUUUAAUAAAAUUAAGUUCUAUGCCUAUGCUAGAAUGAGUAUUAAAACCUAAUUAUAAAAGAAAUAUAGUUUAUUUUUCUUCAAAAAAAAUAAUUAAAAAAAUUAAUUAAUUAGAAGGAAUUCGGCAAGUUUAGUUGCUUCGCCUGUUUAUCAAAAACAUGGCUCUUUGCUCACAUAAAUAUAAAGAGUCGAGCCUGCCCAGUGAAUUUUUUUUAACGGCCGCGGUACUCUGACCGUGCAAAGGUAGCAUAAUCAUUUGCCUUAUAAUUGAAGGCUAGUAUGAAUGGUUUGACGAGAGCAACACUGUCUCCUUUUUAUUUUCAAAAACUUAACUUUUAGGUGAAGAGGCCUAAAUUUUAUUGAAGGACAAGAAGACCCUGUCGAGCUUAAAAGACAUUAUAGGAGUCUAAUAUAUUUUUAAAUAAAUUUCUGUUAAACUUUUUAGUUGGGGCGACUAAGGAACAAAAAAAGCUUCUUUCUAACGGAUAAACAAUCAUGUUUGGAUCCGAUAAUAGCGAUCAAAGAAAUUAGUUACCGCAGGGAUAACAGCAUAAUCUCUCUUAAGAGACCUAAUCGAAAGAGGGGGUUGUGACCUCGAUGUUGGACUAGAAUAU
This 808-nucleotide ribosomal RNA is filed under the name Semisulcospira forticosta. RNAcentral's name for it is "partial 16S ribosomal RNA". It matches the Rfam family "Bacterial large subunit ribosomal RNA", at positions 1421 to 2545 of the family's 2925-position model. Lineage: Eukaryota; Metazoa; Mollusca; Gastropoda; Semisulcospiridae. The record is from RNAcentral.